CCUCGACAUCUUCCACAACUAAAGUGACUACAAUUUCAACUACAAGAUUUGUGCCCGUGUAUCUAACAGACCUGGUGUUCCGUUCUUUUGACAUAUAUAUUGUUGAACUCAACGAUUCAAACUCUCAGGCUUUCAAGACAAGGGCUCAGCUUGUCAUAGCACAGCUUGACCCAAUCUACAGAGCCAGAUAUCCUUCCUUCAUCAGAGUGAUUGUCAUAAGUUUCAGCCCAGGGUCAAUCAUCACAACAACACAACUAGUUUUCAACUCCACGGAAACUGUCCCAUCAGUUGGAGAGAUUUCAAACACCCUCUUGACAGCAGUAGGAACAGGAGUUGUCAAUCCACUGAACAUAAUUCCUUCGUCAGUUUCAGUCAAUGGUUCAGUUAUUGCUACGACUGUAGCUGCUUUAACUACAGUGUCAAGUGGAUUAAAAAUUGAAUUCAGUCUGCUCAAAACAACAUGGCUCAUUAUUAUGGCAAAAAUAUUAAGGCUUUUCCUAUAGAUCCUUUAACAAUGAAUCAACCAAGGAUGCAAUUUCAGCAAAGCAUGCUCUAAUGAAUUAUACUAGCAAAUUAUAUUAUUUACGUAUGUGUAUUAUGCAUUAUUUACUGUUGUAGCAAAAUCUUAAAAUAUGACAAUGGCUAUAUAAAUAGAAGCCUAAAAUUGCAUUGAUUUUCAAGAGCACAAUUUGUAAAGAGAAAAAAUAUUAUAUAUUUAUCAGAGGUUGUUGAGAUUUAUCCUAUUUUGAUAUUGUUCCUCACAGUAUUUUUAUAUGUAAUACUUUUGUUCAGCUGUCUGCAGGUUAAAGACUCUUUAUAGUUCUAUUUUGUCUAGUAUAUGCCAACACUGCAAUAUCUCAUAUCUUUUAAUAAUCAAAUAAACAUAUUUAUUGAGUUCAUAUAAUCCAAAAUUGUUUUAUAUAAAACCACCAAUUGUGUGAAAUGAGAAAGAGAUGAAAAUGAAGAGAUCAUAAAAAUAUGAAGGAUUUAAACACAUACUUUUGUA
Long non-coding RNA from Ctenopharyngodon idella (grass carp), 1006 nucleotides. RefSeq lists it as uncharacterized. Lineage: Eukaryota; Metazoa; Chordata; Actinopteri; Cypriniformes; Xenocyprididae. The transcript has 4 exons. The record is from RefSeq and is a predicted model, not a curated record.